GGACGAACGCUGGCGGCGUGCUUAACACAUGCAAGUCGAGCGGUAAGGCCCUUCGGGGUACACGAGCGGCGAACGGGUGAGUAACACGUGGGUGAUCUGCCUCGUACUCUGGGAUAAGCCUGGGAAACUGGGUCUAAUACCGGAUAUGACCACAUGUCGCAUGGUGUGUGGUGGAAAGAUUUAUCGGUGCGAGAUGGGCCCGCGGCCUAUCAGCUUGUUGGUGGGGUAACGGCCUACCAAGGCGACGACGGGUAGCCGACCUGAGAGGGUGAUCGGCCACACUGGGACUGAGACACGGCCCAGACUCCUACGGGAGGCAGCAGUGGGGAAUAUUGCACAAUGGGCGGAAGCCUGAUGCAGCGACGCCGCGUGCGGGAUGACGGCCUUCGGGUUGUAAACCGCUUUCGACAGGGACGAAGCGUGAGUGACGGUACCUGUAGAAGAAGCACCGGCCAACUACGU
RNAcentral lists this ribosomal RNA (462 nucleotides) under Nocardiaceae bacterium 'ARUP UnID 480'. Its description in RNAcentral is "bacterial SSU rRNA". It matches the Rfam family "Bacterial small subunit ribosomal RNA", at positions 27 to 506 of the family's 1533-position model. Lineage: Bacteria; Bacillati; Actinomycetota; Actinomycetes; Mycobacteriales; Nocardiaceae. The record is from RNAcentral.